Molecule: unclassified non-coding RNA, 289 nt
Filed under: fungal sp.
Lineage: Eukaryota; Fungi
Description: partial internal transcribed spacer region
Rfam family: Eukaryotic small subunit ribosomal RNA (bases 1-63)
Source: RNAcentral
CUUUUUAGAGGAAGUAAAAGUCGUAACAAGGUUUCCGUAGGUGAACCUGCGGAAGGAUCAUUAAAGAGUUUUAAGGUUAUUGUCUAUCCUCUCCUGGAUGAAUCAAUGCCUUUUUCCUUCUCUACCCUUUAUAUAUUUCUAUAUUCAGUUGCUUUGGCAAUGUUCACUUUGAUAAUUGCCAAGGGAAUUUUAUAAACCCUUUUUGUUAUCCAAUAAUUGGUUACUUAUUGUCUGAUUUUUAAUGCUGAAAUAGUAUUUAAAACUUUCAACAAUGGAUCUCUUGGUUCUG